GUGCUCGCUUUAGCAGCACAUAUGCCAAAAUCGGAACCAUACAGAGAUCAGCAUGGUCCCUGCACAAGGAUGAUAUGCAAAUUCGUGAAGUGCUCCAUAUUUUA
Eptesicus fuscus (big brown bat) is the source of this 104-nucleotide small nuclear RNA. The record is from RefSeq and is a predicted model, not a curated record. NCBI's taxonomy places the organism in Eukaryota, Metazoa, Chordata, Mammalia, Chiroptera, Vespertilionidae.